RNAcentral lists this long non-coding RNA (2206 nucleotides) under Salvia miltiorrhiza (redroot sage). Its description in RNAcentral is "long non-coding RNA (SMIL_LNC005616)". The record is from RNAcentral. Lineage: Eukaryota; Viridiplantae; Streptophyta; Magnoliopsida; Lamiales; Lamiaceae.
UUUUUCUAAUUUUUCUUUGUUUUUUUCUUUUGUGAUGAAAAAAGUUAGUGUUUUGUUGAAGUUGGGAGAUGGGAAAGAGGAGAGAAGUUGAGCAUUGUGGGAAAAUUUGGGAGGGAGAGUGAAUGUGGGGAGGAGAAAGAAAGAGUCAGAAUGUUGAGGAGAGAGAAACAAAAAUAGAGAGAGAGAGAGGUAGUUAGUUGGCGGUUAAGAAGGCGAAAGAUUUUGGGAAUGUUAGGACAAGGUGGUUUCGUUUUAAAACUGAGACUGUAGUCUAAUAUUUAUUAUAAUUAUAUUACUAUAUAAUAGUAUUAUUUAAAUAAAUAAAUUUCUUGUAUGUGUAUUUAAAAUUUUAAAUGAUUUUUUGUAAAUGCUAAGUAAAGAUAUAUAGUAUUGAAAUAUAAGAUGAAAUGGAGUAUUAUCAGUGGUCUUGUGUUCCAAUCUAUGUUGCAUAGGUACGGAGGUGCGGAUACGGGGGCGAUACGAUACGAGUACGGGGAUACGAGUUUUUAAAAAUUAUAUGGUGCGAUUCGGCAAUGAUACAUCUAAUUAUUAAAAUUUUAUGAUAUAUAAUGCUUAUAAAAUAUAUGCAAUUUAAAUUUUCUUAAAUUAAUUAUAUGUAAUUUGCAUUUUAUUUUACCCAAUAAUUAAGCAUUUUCAAUUAUAUAAGUUAAUUGAGCAACAAUAUAACGAUUUAAAUAUUAUUAGUCCAAUAUAUAAGUCAUAACUUAAAAUAAAAUUAUCAAAAUAACCUUAUAUCUACACCUUUCAUGCAUGAGAUACGUGAAUUUCGCCUAUGGAAUUUGCGAAUCCAGUUUAUUUUUAUAAAUUGUUUUAAAAGAUACGCCACGUGGCGAAUCGGGUGCGAAUCCGACGAGAAUCGCACCCUAAAAGAAUCCGAUUCGCCGUACAUACUAAUUUUUGAAGAAUCCGUGCAUCAUAGGUUCCAAUUCAUAAUUCGUUUUGUUUUGUUUUGUUUUGUUUUGAUUUUUUUUUUUUUUUUUUUUUUUUUUUUGAAAAUACUACAUAUUUUCUCAUCAUAAAUUUGAGUCUGUAACAUAGUUUACCUAUCUUGUGUAGUUUGCAGGUGAAUCGAAUGUAGUGACUGCGGAUUACCUACGUAGUACAACAAAAAAAAAUAUACUACACAGUACAUACAAUUUAUAAAAUUUUGAUAAAGAAAAAAAACAAUGGGGCUUUCUGAUUUUGCAAACAAAUUACUUUCAAUGCUCUAAAAAGCAUAACUAUGCUCAAAUAUUAGACUUUGAUUCUUACAAUAAUCUGUUAAAUCUGGAAAUAUGCUUCUAUGUGGCGAUAUGUUUCUAUCUGCUGGGAGAAUGAUCAAAGCGAGGCAUGGCGUAGAGAUCUUCUCCAUCUCCCUAGCUUCUCUCGCCCCUGCCAUGAAUUCAACGACGACAUUUUAGGAUUCCCGCUGUUUAAGAGCUUAUUUUGCCAAACACUUAUAAAUCUCAGGCAAACACCAUCUAAGCAACAUGCGAACGAGAGAUGCCACACGGAGUCAAUUUACCUUCCGAGGUGCAAUGGCCAACUCAUUCUCUGAAAUACUCGUUGCUUCGAAACCAACGGGAUGCAACGCCUCUUCAUAACUGCGUAGUUAGAAAUAAACAUCUUAUAAGUUGUAGAGAAAAAGGAUAGGUAUUGAAAAUCCGACAAUAUAAAAUACUGGAGCUGAGACGAAGUGGGAAUUACUCGGCAACUGAUACUUUAAACGGAGGGCCGCCCUCAUGAUCAUCGAUCUAACAACAACAAGAAUAUCAAGAAUAUGCAAAAUCAUAAGGAAAGAUAUAGUCUGACAAUGUUAGCCUAGUGAUAGAGUGAUUAAUGUCUGGGGGCAAAGGUCUCAGAUUCAAGUCUUUAAAUAUUCUCGACUAACCGGAUACAUUAGUGUUAUGAGCUCCCCAUCCGGUUUUAGAAGAUCGGAUAUUUUCUUGGUCCCACAAUGAUCUUAGCUCGGGUUCGAUGGCACAGAAAAACCUGUAGAGCUGACGAACAUUAAUGAAAAAUACAGCAUAAGUUCNCGAAUAGUUGUAGGAGGAGAGAACAAAAUAAAGAGAGAGAGAGAGAGGUAGUUAGUUGGCGGUUAAGAAGGCGAAAGAUUUUGGGAAUGUUAGGACAAGGUGGUUUCGUUUUAAAACUGAGACUGUAGUCUAAUAUUUAUUAUAAUUAUAAUUAUUCUGUACUAUAAUUA